ACAAUUUCAGCAAUUCUCUGCCCCUAGCAAUUCCCAAACACAGCAACAGCAGCAGCAAUUUCAAUCCAUGCGAGGUGGAUUAGGAGGCUUAGGAUCUAUCAAACAGGAGCCCCAGGUGACCAGUGAUCAAACACCACAGCAGUUGCAAGCCCUGCGAAACCUGGCAACUGUAAAGCAGGAGCCCCAACAGAUACAAAGUAUGAGAGGCCUUGCCACUGUGAAGAUGGAGCCACAACAUUCCUCACCCUCUUUGUUUCUACAUCAGCAACAGCAACAGCAGCAGCAGCAGCAGCAGCAACAACAGCAGCAGUUACUUCACAUGUCCAAGCAGUCCCCUCAAUCUGCAGCAGCGGCUCAGCUUUUCCACCAGCAGAGGAUUAUGCAGCUCCAGCAGCAGCAGCAGCAACAACUCUUGAAGACUAUUCCUCAGCAAAGAAACCCACUUCAACCGCAAUUUCAACCACAGAAUCAUGCUAUAAGGUCUCCUAUAAAACCAGCUUAUGAGCCUGGGAUGUGUGCCCGUCGGCUGACUCAUUAUUUGUAUCAGCAGCAACACAGACCUGAAGUAAGAAAACUGUGCCAACUAUAAUUUCUGGGUGGACUAUAAACUCUGCACCCUACCACACAGCUUAUCUGAUCUCAAUUGAUCCUUUAUUUGACUACAGCCCUAUGAUGUUACAUUUGCACUACCUUUUUUUAUAGGACAAUAACAUAGAGUUCUGGAGAAAAUUUGUCGCCGAGUAUUUUGCUCCACAUGCCAAGAAAAAGUGGUGCGUUUCUAUGUAUGGAAGUGGUCGGCAGACCACUGGAGUUUUUCCUCAGGUUGGUUGUGUUAUUGAUUUUUCGUAAUCAAAUGUGAGAAAUCUUCUUAUAUAGUGAAAAAAUGUGGUUAUAGCAAGUCAUAUACCACAUCCACAUCUAUGGAUUGAUAAAGCUUUUCUGAAAAUUGAUUCUUUUUUCAGCUUUGAUAACUAAUUUGGAUUUGUUGCUUAUAUGUUAUGCAAAUUUAUUGCUGACCAACUUUUUCCUUGUAUUAGAAAAUUAAUCACGAUUAUAUAAUUUGCAGGAUGUAUGGCACUGUGAAAUAUGCAACCGCAAGCCAGGCCGUGGGUUUGGUAUGUUUCUUUGUAAUUUUACAAAGCCAUUGUCGUUGACUCGUAAUAUCUGCACCCAUUUGGUUAAUUUUCCUCAGUGUAAUCUUUAUUGGCAUCUGAUGUUUCUGAACUUAUUUGUUCAGAAGCGACUGCUGAAGUCUUGCCCAGGCUUUUCAAGAUAAAAUAUGAAAGUGGGACUUUGGAAGAGCUACUCUAUAUUGAUAUGCCGCGUGAAUAUCAGAAUUCAUCUGGACAGAUUGUCCUAGACUAUGCAAAAGCAAUUCAGGAGAGUGUUUUUGAGCAACUUCGUGUUGUCCGUGAUGGUCAGCUUCGAAUAGUGUUCUCACAACCUGAUCUGAAGGUUAAUUGAAGAGCUCAUAGCGUUUUAUUUUAAUAACUAUACUUAUUAAUCAGUUGUUUAAGACAUGGCACAUUGCAGAUGAAUGCCUAUUAUUUUCUUUUAACUGUUUUCCUUUUUGUCAACUUGGCAGAUCGUCUCUUGGGAAUUUUGUGCUCGACGUCACGAGGAGCUAAUCCCUAGAAGAUUGUUGAUACCUCAGGUUGCUCAAUGUUGCUUUGAACUGCUAAUUUACCUUGAUCUAUGUGAAUCAUGCUUCGGCUCUAACUAACCUGACUUGUAUGUUUCUGUUUUGGCAAAAACUUUUGCUUUCUCUUACCAUUUAUGCUAGAACAGAAACAUUUUGUCCAGAUAAGUACGUACGUGCUAGUCAAACGAGGUCUUUAAUGUCCCUUUUAGAUGUAUUUGAUGAGAUUGAGGUCUUGUGAGGUAUAAUUUCUCAAAUAAGGUUUUGCUGUUGUAAAGUUAUAUGUAUUUCAAACAUAAUCCGUCGAGCAUGCCUUUUUCCCUCUAAUUUUCCUUUUCAUCGUGACUUGGUAUAAGCUAAUAUACAUCUUAGAGAUUUGACUUGCUUUCUCUUUUCCAUUUUUUAUUAAAUGCCAUCUUGCUAGAAAAUAGAACAAUGGUUGCUGACCAUCUUAUUCUCAUCCCUGAUCCAUGGUGAUGAAUUGGUUGGAGCAGUUAGUAGAUUGCACUGUAAAUCACUUUCUCUGACUUGAAUGCAAAUUACCAUCCAUAGGUUGGAGUCCAUCGGUAUAAAUAUAGAUCUAUGUCUGUUGGAUAUGUUUGAGAAGGAUAGCAGUGCAUUGGGUAGUAGGGUUAGCCCUUGCCCCUGAUUAAGGGUUUGGUGAUGUUAUAGUAUUGCAGCAGUGGAGGUGCAGUAGAGGAAAAAAUUCCAAAUGCUGUUUGAGCUGUUGGCAAUGGUAACCGAGGCCAGUAGACCCUGGCUUUUGGUGCUUUCAGUUUUGUGUCUGAUAUCUGUGCUUCAUCAUGGCAAUGUAUGAUUGGAAUUGGUUUGAGUGUUGUAUCCCUAAUUAUGAUUAAUUUAGUAGAGAUAAAGAAGCACUAGAAUCAGUAUUGUUAGCCCUUGGUUAAGGGUUUGGUGAUGUUAAACUAUUGCUACAAUGGAGAGCGGUGGUGGAAAAAUUCAAAAACCUGUGUCGGCUGUUGGCUAGUGCAACCGAGACCAGUAAAGCCUGAAAUUUUGUGCUUUAUGUUCUGUGUUCGAGGACAUUUUUGCUUCUGUCAUGCCAAUGUACACUUGAAAGUAAUUAAGUGUUGAAGGGCGAACUAUGAGAAUAUAGUAGUGAUACAGAAGCACUAGAAUCAAUAUUGUUAAGAGUUCACUGAGGUGCACUUAGUGCUGCAGUUAGGUGAAGUGUAGUCUCGGCCCUUCACUUUGCUUCAGACUUCUGCGACGCUUUAGUAUUGGCACAAACGCAUGUGACUUAGAUCCGAUGAGCUCUUUCCUGAAAUGAUUGAGACAACACAGUAAAUAUAGUUGGAAGAGUGAUAUGUUGAUUUUUAAAGGAACAUUAUAGAUAAAUAUGUUAGCAUCUAAGAAUAGAGAAAUAGAGAUUUAGUAUAAGAAAAUUAGGUACUAAAAAUGACAAAAUAUUGGAGAUCAAAUAAUCUGUCUGGUUUUGCUAAUACUUUUUGCUUUUAUAUUUGAAAAAGACAUUCAAAAUUUGGUGCUAACAGUCCUGGCUUUGAAUGUGCUGAUUCGGGGUUAUCAUUAUAUUUGCCCGUGAGUGAUCCACAUAUGCGGAGUUGUGUUGAAUAUCUUCUCAUAAAGUUUAAGUUUUUAGAUGACGUUGACCUGAUGAAGCAUUUAGUUCACUAUCAUUUCCGUUGCACCUAAUUGACUGCAAGACAGGGUUAACUAAAUUUCUCUUCAGAAUGUCUCUUUAUAAAGUUUUCACAUAUUCUUGUUUCCUGUCCUUCUGUGUGCUUUACUUCUUAUGGGGUUUGUCACAUCUUUUAGCAGAUUGUUUGUGUUAUCUGGAUGAAGCUGUCUUUCAUUUUUGGAUAUAGUGGCAUUUGCAUCUCUUUGAUUUGUUUUUUAUGAUUUUCAUGUGUAGGUGAGUCAACUCGGCGCUGCAGCUCAAAAGUACCAGGCAGCCACCCAAAACGGAUCAUCUACAGCGUCUGUUUCUGAGUUGCAGAAUAACUGCAAUAUGUGAGUCCCAGAUAUUUAUGGCACAGGUUUUAUACGAAAUGUUUGGGCUGACACUGUUGUACCAUGUCUUUGUUUAAUGGGGUCUAACUAUUUCGAUUUAGCACAUAUAUCUCACUCUGUGUUGAAAACUUAUUUUCCUUAAGUAGGUAAUAAUGAUGAGCUUUGUCUCCAUUUAGGGAUUGGCUUCUUUGAUGGUCUGCUGGUACUUUAAUUUUACAGAUCAUUGUUAGCAGACUUAAAUUGAGACUUUAAUGUUAUUGUUGUGAUAUUUGACCAGUCAGUCAUCCUAUUAGUGCUUUAUCUUACUACGAUGUGUACGUCUGAUAACAGAUAUAGCUCAAAUUUUGGUGUUAUGGAUCGCUAUUGCUGGUCAUGCUGCCAAGUCUUGGAAGCUCAAUUGCUCCUGAAACUAUAAAUUUGGAAGUCUAGUUGAUAUCCAUGAUUUGUUAAAUUUGGAUGAACAACUGAAUUGCAGUUGUGUUUGAUUGUUAAAAUGUCUUUAUUAACUGAAAAGAGCAUAUCCUUUUUGGGUUCUGAAAGCUCAAUUUUCCAUUCCUGAUAAAUGAAAGAGAAUAUUGGUCUUGAACUUUUUUGGAAAGAAAAUAUCCUCUUGAAAGUGGUGAAUUAGCUAUCCCGGUGUACCUGUGAAUAUAAGACAUGUUCCUACAGCUUCAAAAUGCAGAUCUUACACGGAAUGUUGGUCUUGAACUAUGGAUUUGCAUUUUGUCAUGUCUCUACUUGGUUAUGUCAAGAUUCAAGGAGAAAUGAUAUUAUUUCUUGGUCGCCAGUCAGAAUAUGAGUUUAUCUCUGUUUUCUAUAUUUUAAAGUACUUCACUAAAUUUCUCUCUGAUUGAUUUUCCUCACUGUAACCAGGGGCGGAGCUUAUAUUAGUGGUUUGGCAGAACCCAGUAGCUUUAGCUCAAACCCUGUAUUUGUAUUAAAAAUUAAAAAAAUCGUUUAAUAUGUAUAAAUAAUCUAUCCAGAACCCAAUAAGCAAAAAGGAUUGUGGUCUAGAACCCAUAACUGAAAAUCCUGGACCCGCCUUUGGCUGUAAUUGUUGACUUGGAAAGGCAGGUUUGGGUGGGAGGAGCCAUGCAAGGUCUGUGAUGUAUUGAAUCUUCCAAUAGAAUAAUGGGGAUUAAAAAUGAAAGGACUUCUGGUGAUUGUAUCUUUUUUAAUUUUUAUUUUUGUAUGGAACACAUCUAGUUGUUGUUCAUUGGUAGUGUACAAUGGAGCUACAUUAAUGUAGGGAGCUAUAUGUAAUGGUGGAGAAGGGGAGGGAUGAGGGAAAGUUAUAGACAUGCAUGUCCUUUUUAUGUCAUAACUUGUAUAACGAACAAACAAUACAUAAUCAAUCUAUCAACAACUACAAUUUUAUCGCAAAGAAGGUUGAUUCAACUUAAUCAUCCAAUUAUUUUGUUCAUAAAUAAUUUUCUUUAACGCAAAUUAGGAUUUCUAUAAAACUGGAGGUUGUUUACUCACAAUUUUCUUGCAUUAAUAUACCACUCUCUAACUGGACUGAAAGGACUUCUGGUAAACAUCAGAUCUAAGGUAACAAUAAUAACUAAGCGUUAAUCUUUGACUAGUUGGUGUCGCCUAUUUGGAUCAUUUGCUUUCAUUAUGUUCUCUCAUAGUUAAGUCCGAACUGAUUCGUGAAACUGUAAGCUUUUAAGGACAACUCCUCUCCAUAUGAUUUUAGGCCUUGUACCCUUUUAGCACCUUCAACCAUAAUCAGGAACAAUGUAUAUAUAUGGUUAAAGUUAUGUCUAUAGAUUCUCUUAUUCUGGAUUUUUCUUAUGCUUGUGUAUUUGCUAAUGAUCGUUUAUCUCUUCAUUUAGCUGUUAAUUUUAAGUAAUAUCACUUUUGAGAUUUUGACUUAUGAUUUUGAUUCAGGUUUGUUGCCUCAGCUCGUCAGUUGGCAAAAGCUUUGGAAGUUCCGUUGGUAAAUGAUUUAGGGUAUACAAAGAGAUAUGUGCGAUGCCUUCAGGUAUACACCUCGUUCUAAUGCUGUAAGGUUUUUAUUUUGGUUCUUUUCUGGAUUUGUUUGGAGAUUUUCCGCUUGUUUCGAUGGGGAAAUCACUACAAAUUGUUGAAAUAUUUGCUUCUGUUAGAGUUUUUAAUUUCCCAACCAGGUUUUAUUUGCCUGUUCUGUGUGUUCCGACUCAACCAGUUCUACCCAACUUUCUUAUCCUCCCUGUGCCCUCUCUCUCUCUCUCUCUCUCUCUCUCUCUCUCUCUCUCUUUUUAAUCUGCCAUCUUCCCAUGUAAUUCAAAGCACAGCUGAAAAUGAAGGCCAAAAUUCGGAUUUUGUAGCAGGUAGCAGCUCAGGGAUUUUGAUAACUGUUCUUUUGUCAUAUUGGGAAUUCCUAAAUCCUACUGGCAACUGACUUAUGAGUUAAUCUAUGAAGUAGACGGAACAUAUUUCGGCCUGUUCUUAGGAUAGAUAUUUCUGAUGCCAUUCUGUUCUUCCUGUUGAGAAGCGUUUUCUUUUUAAUUUUUAGAGUUUACUCUGUUUCUAUAAUUUUAUUUCAGUGGGUCAUAGAGGGUCUAGUGGCACAAGAUAACUUCCAGUUCAGCGAUUUCCCCCUUUUUUUUUUUGUACUUUCCAAGUGUUUAUCACGUAGGCCUAGACUUUUUUCCAGUGACAUUUUUAAAAUGAAGCUAAUCUGGCUGAAAGUUGCACGAUGAUGCAUUCAAAUGAUAACUCUUCUGAUGUAAUUGUAUUUCGCUUUAAUCUCGUCUUCAAUUCAGUCUUAUGGAUAUAAUUUAUAUUCUUCUGUAUACUGCUGGUGCAAUUGCAGAUAUCAGAAGUAGUUAAUAGCAUGAAAGAUUUGAUAGACUACAGCAGAGAGACAAGGACAGGGCCUAUGGGUAAGUUCUGCGUUUUUACCUUUCAACUUGUUCCUGUUGGCUGUUGCUAGUUUAAAGGUCUUCUAUAUCCACCAAGUAAUCACAAAGAUCAAAAGUGAGGUUGCAGGGGCUAAUCUUUCUCUGUGGUUUGAUGGUUUAGAGAUUAGGGUACAAUUGUUAUUCAUCACAAUUCACAAGGCACGAAUGUUAUCAUCUGAAGUUAAAUUUUACGCGCAAGAUAAAUUGCUUUUUGAGGUCGAAACAGGUGACUACCUAAUGUACAUGUGCAAAAAUCCAAACUGGCUGUGUCUGAAUGUAGAUUUCAUUGUAUAUGCAUUUAACUUGUUGAAUUUAAUGUAGUGGGUUGUGUGGUGUUAAGAACUUAACCCUGGGAGUACCACAUGAAUGUGGGGUUGAUACAGUUCUGUAAACCUUACAAUUGUGCUUGAAAUUUGGCCUUUCCAGAGAGCUUGGCUAAGUUUCCUCGUAGGAAUGGUUCAUCGGCUGGGGUACGUGGUGCAGCUCAACCAUCUGAGGAGCAGUCUCAGCAGCAGCAGCAGCCACAGUCUCAGCAGCAGCAGCAGCAGCAGCAGCAACAGCAACAACAUACGGCCAGUCAGAACUCAAACCACGAAAGCUCUGUCCAGGCUGGUACAAUGCAGCUUGCUUCCAGCAAUGGUAUUCUGAGCGAAAACAACUCUUUAAACCCUGCACCUGUUACUUCGUCUAGUAGUACUGGUGCUCGGCUAUUGCGCCAAAAUUCCAUGAACUCUAGGCAACAGGCAACAAUGAAUGGGGUGAACAGCCCUUAUGCAGGAAAUGGUGUGAACAGUCCUUAUGCAGGAAAUGCUGUUCAAAUGGCUUCACCAAGUUCUUCAAAUACAAUGCCACAGUCUCAACAAAACCUGUCUGCAUUCCAAUCACCAACACCGUGUUCAUCAGGCAAUCCGCCACAAACUUCGCAUGGUGGCUUAACAUCUGGAUCACACGUGAAUUCUGCCAAUUCCCCGAAUAUUUCAAUGCAUCAACCCACUCUUUCAGGUGAUAUUGAUGCUAACGACUCUCAGAGUUCUGUACAAAAGAUCAUACACGAAAUGAUGAUGUCUUCCCAACUUGGUGGAGGUGGCCUUGUAGGUGGUGGUGCCACGCGGAAUGAUAUGAAAAGUGUAAAUGGUUUGAUAACAACUGCUAAUAACUCCAUUCUUAAUGGAAGCAGCUGCCUUGUUGGGAAUGGGACAGCAAAUGCUAAUAUUGGUAUCUCUCCAGGAUAUGGCAACAUGGGCAACGGACUGAGCCAGGCUGCAAUGGCCAAUGGAAUUCGGGCUGCAUUAGGUAAUAGUUCUGUUGCUAUGAAUGGAAGAGUAGGCAUGCCAAUGGCACGAGAGCAAAGUGUGAGUCAACAGCAACAAGAUUUGGGAAACCAACUACUUAGUGGUUUAGGAGCAGUCAAUAGUUUCAGUAACCUUCAGUUUGACUGGAAAACAUCCCCCUAAAGGUUUUGACUUGGCUUUAGCCUAGAAGGAUGAACAAAGUGACAAGAUCCUUUAGGAGAUAGGGGUGCCCUCUUGUGGUUGUAAUUGCAUAUUUGGUCCUCAUGUGCUGCUUUGUGCUGCAAAGAUGACAUGAUUUUGCCUUGCACACUGAGAGUAGGUAUGAAUCCUGAAGAGCAAUCAUUUCAGGGCUUGCCUCUGUUGUAGUGAUUUGCCCGAGAAGGAAAACAUGUAGCACAGUAAUUUCAUGAUUGAAAUGUUACAUCACCUGAGGUAGCAUAAGAUUCUUCUAACUUGAUUUUGUCUGGUUUAUUACAGUUAUAUAUUUGCACUAACAGCCUUGAAUAGGACAUUCCAGGAGUGACUUGGCAAACACUUGUACCUUUUCGAGGCAUUUGUAAACUACUGAAUCGCUGAGCUCUUGCCCAUCUUGUGCUGUACCUGUGCCACCACUCCGGAACAUGAGUGUAUAUAGUCUGAAUUGUGUGGAAGGUAUUUUAUAUUAGAACUUUCAGAAGCUGGUAGAAAUUGACUUGCCACUUGUUCCAUGGUAAUGUGUCUAAUGCAAUCACUUCAUUUCUCCUCUCUCCCGACACCUACUAUGUUUUUGUAUAUCAAUUAAGCAGUUUUGAUUGUUGUGGUUGCUGGCUUUUGGAGUGGCUGGAUGCUAAAGAUGAGGAUUUACCUCUCUGAGGAGGGGAUAUUGGUAUCAGUGCUUUAAUUUCUGUUAAGGGGGCAAUUUUUGACUUUUUGACUCUUUCCUCAUGAUUUCUCGGUCAAAGUAUUUGUAUUCGCCUGUUCUCUAAUCCAAAAAAAGAAAGAAAUAGAAUUCCUUAAUUCCUCUCUUUUCUCUUUUUUUCUUCUUCUUUUGGUGGCUAAGCAAAGUGCUAUUUGUUGAAUCGCGUAUGUUGGGGACAUUGGUUGGGUGCUAUCAAAUCUUUGGUAAUCACAACGCGGUAUGCUAAAUGAUGGUAAUCAUAAAAAAAAAGAUGAGACUGGGCAAAAUGAUGUUACUUAAAUAUGACAUCGCUAUAUAGUAAAAUUUAUCGUAUUAGUGUAGUUUUGUUAACAAACCUUAAACUACGUAUUAUAAAUUUGGACUGCUAUUCUUAAAUAAUAUGAAUAUUUCUAUAUUCAAUUUUCAACGCUUGACCUUUCCGAAAAUCGUAAGGCGAUACACAUAGAACGAAAAUCAUCUCAAGUUUUAGAAAGUCCAUCAUUUCCUUCUUCCUUCUCUAUCACCCAAUCUCUUUUUUUCUCCCCUUUUUUUGCUGGAAUACCCAUUUUCAACAUAGAGCUCUUAUAUGUAUACCAUUUACUUAAAUAAUUUAAGAAAAAAAUUGAUGAAUAUGUUAAAUAAAUAAUAAUAAAUUAAUUUGAUUGACAAAAUUCAUGUUAAAACUUAAUAUAUAAUUUAAUAAAUUUAAACUCUUGAAAGUUGUGAUCUAAAUUUUGUAGACUAACAAUAUAAGUAAAUGUUUUUAAAUAUGAUGUGUAAGUUGUAACUGAGAAAUCGAUUCAAAGUUAAGGGUACUUAUGCCUUUUCAUCCAUCUCAUGAACCGAACGUCCAUAUUUAUGAGCUUUUGCACUAUGCACAUGCAUGUACACCAGAACAUUUCUCCACCCCACACACCCACAGGAAAAAGGCAGAAGAGGAUUUGACUUCGUUUGAUUGAGAGAAGAAAAAUAUUUAAAAUUUAAAAAUAAAAAGAAAAAAAGGUAAAGAAAGAAAGAGUGAAGGAAAGAGAAAUAUUCAAUCUGAUUGAAUGCAGUUUUGACGUCCGCAAGAACUCUCUCUCUAACUUUCUCGCUCUAAAGAGGACAGCGCAGAAACUCAGAGAAAACUCUUCUCUCUUUCUCUCUACUGAAACUUCUUCACUUUGACAAAGCAAAGUCCCCAAGCUAAUUUGAGCUGUGGAUCUUGUUCUUUGCACUUUAUUGCGCGAUUUAGGGCUCGAUCAAGUGAACAUGUAAUUUAUUAAUCACUUGUUUUUAUUUUUCUACUCUCGAAUUAUUUACUGUACCGAGCUUCGUUUUUUAGAGGAUUUUUUUUUUCGUCUUUUUAUUUCUCAGUUUUCUGAUUUUCUUUCUUGUUUAAGUUUUCGUGUAUUCUCCACUUAUAGCUGCUUUAUUUGAUUAGUGAUUGAGUAUGAAUUUUUUUUUUUUUGAUUUUUCUUACUGUGUUGAGAUUUGGGUUUAGCUAUGUUUUUAUGGAAGCAAGGGAGAAAUUUGACACAAUAAAACAAUUUUUUAUUUUUUUGUUUUUUUUCUUGCAGGGAUAAGUGGAUAGAGAUAUUUAUUUGAGCAGAAAAAGAGAAGCUUUGGAAGUUUAAGAGUUAAAGCUUGUAGCUUGUACUUGGUAUUCUAUUGAUGAUGCACAACAGGUUUUCUCAGCAUGAAGGUUCUCCCUUUGGUUUGGCUCAAAAUAGGGACUUUGGAAUGUCAAUUGAUGUAGUAGGUUCUGCUUGUUGUUCUGUGUAAUUCUCUUUUUCAGAGUAAAGUAUGAAGUCUCCAGAUCUGGGGUGUUAGGCUUCAUUCCGUUUUAGUUUUCUAUAAUUUGUUAAGUGUUUGUAGAUUGUUAUCUAUUGCAUAAAAGAUAUGGUGCCACCAGGACCUCCUAAUCCACUUGGAGGUGCCCAGCCUGUCCCGUCUUCGUUAUUGCGAUCAAAUUCUAGUUUAUUGGGUGGUCAAGGGGGUGGAAUGCCUACCCCAGGUGGUUUCCCUUCUAUUGUGUCACCUCGGACUCAGUUUGGUAACAUGAAUAUGCUAGGAAAUGCUCCAAAUGCUUCGUCUCUGCUCCAUCAGUCCUUAGGAAAUGGUGGUCAUAAUUCAGGGCGAGCUGAUAAUGGGGCCGAGUCUGAUCCAAUGGCCAGUGCUGGCAAUGGUAUGGGAUUUAAUGCUCCUUCAACAUCGUUUAGCUCAUCGGGCAUGGCAGCAAAUCCAAAUUCAGGUCAAGUUCAGGGACAGCGGUUUCCCAGCCAUUCUGGUAACCAGAUGUUAACUGAGCAGUCACCGUCCCAACAGCUUGAUUCCCAGAACUACCAACAUAAUCAACAAUUUCAGCAAUUUUCUGCCCCUAGCAAUUCCCAAACACAACAACAGCAGCAGCAAUUUCAAUCCAUACGAGGUGGAUUAGGAGGUGUAGGACCUGUCAAACAGGAGCCCCAAGUGACCAAUGAUCAAACACCACAGCAGUUGCAAGCACUACGAAACCUGACGACUGUAAAGCAGGAGCCCCAACAGAUACAAAGUAUGAGAGGCCUUGCCACUGUGAAGAUGGAGUCACAACAUUCCUCACCCUCUUUGUUUCUACAUCAGCAACAGCAGCAGCAGCAACAACAGCAAUUACUUCACAUGUCCAAACAGUC
Molecule: long non-coding RNA, 11339 nt
Filed under: Nicotiana tabacum (common tobacco)
Lineage: Eukaryota; Viridiplantae; Streptophyta; Magnoliopsida; Solanales; Solanaceae
Description: long non-coding RNA (NTAB_LNC018703)
Source: RNAcentral